UGAAUGUAGACUCGUUCCGAUUCAUACCGAGGCAUGCAUGGGGAAUUGCCAAUUGGGCAAGCUGAUGGCAGCAUGGCGCUGUAUGAAGAAGGCUUCGGGUUGUAAGUACUUUCAGCGGGAGAUGGGAGUAAAGGUAUACUUUGUCAUUGACGUACCGGCAGAAGAAGCACCGCUAGUCCGUGCAGCAGCCGCGUAAUACGGAGGGUGCAAGCGUUAAUCGGAAUUACUGGGCGUAAAGCGCACGCAGGCGGUUUGUUAAGUCAGAUGUGAAAUCCGCGGGCUCAACCUGGGAACUGCAUCUGAUACUGGCAAGCUUGAGUCUCGUAGAGGGGGGUAGAAUUCCAGGUGUAGCGGUGAAAUGCGUAGAGAUCUGGAGGAAUACCGGUGGCGAAGGCGGCCCCCUGGACGAAGACUGACGCUCAGGUGCGAAAGCGUGGGAAGCAAACAGGAUUAGAUACCCUGGUAGUCCACGCCGUAAACGAUGUCGACUUGGAGGUUGUGCCCUUGAGGCGUGGCUUCCGGAGCUAACGCGUUAAGUCGACCGCCUGGGGAGUACGGCCGCAAGGUUAAAACUCAAAUGAAUUGACGGGGGCCCGCACAAGCGGUGGAGCAUGUGGUUUAAUUCGAUGCAACGCGAAGAACCUUACCUGGUCUUGACAUCCACAGAACUUUCCAGAGAUGGAUUGGUGCCUUCGGGAACCGUGAGACAGGUGCUGCAUGGCUGUCGUCAGCUCGUGUUGUGAAAUGUUGGGUUAAGUCCCGCAACGAGCGCAACCCUUAUCCUUUGUUGCCAGCGGUCCGGCCGGGAACUCAAAGGAGACUGCCAGUGAUAAACUGGAGGAAGGUGGGGAUGACGUCAAGUCAUCAUGGCCCUUACGACCAGGGCUACACACGUGCUACAAUGGCGCAUACAAAGAGAAGCGACCUCGCGAGAGCAAGCGGACCUCAUAAAGUGCGUCGUAGUCCGGAUUGGAGUCUGCAACUCGACUCCAUGAAGUCGGAAUCGCUAGUAAUCGUGGAUCAGAAUGCCACGGUGAAUACGUUCCCGGGCCUUGUACACACCGCCCGUCACACCAUGGGAGUGGGUUGCAAAAGAAGUAGGUAGCUUAACCUUCGGGAGGGCGCUUACCACUUUGUGAUUCAUGACUGGGGUGAAGUCGUAACAAGGUAGCCGU
RNAcentral lists this ribosomal RNA (1175 nucleotides) under Shigella sp. AB5221. RNAcentral describes it as "bacterial SSU rRNA". It matches the Rfam family "Bacterial small subunit ribosomal RNA", at positions 315 to 1503 of the family's 1533-position model. The record is from RNAcentral. Lineage: Bacteria; Pseudomonadati; Pseudomonadota; Gammaproteobacteria; Enterobacterales; Enterobacteriaceae.